RNAcentral lists this ribosomal RNA (402 nucleotides) under Salmonella enterica subsp. enterica serovar Infantis. RNAcentral describes it as "partial 23S ribosomal RNA". It matches the Rfam family "Bacterial large subunit ribosomal RNA", at positions 117 to 559 of the family's 2925-position model. RNAcentral also lists the same sequence under 4 other names. The record is from RNAcentral. Lineage: Bacteria; Pseudomonadati; Pseudomonadota; Gammaproteobacteria; Enterobacterales; Enterobacteriaceae.
AAUGGGGAAACCCAGUGUGACUCGUCACACUAUCAUUAACUGAAUCCAUAGGUUAAUGAGGCGAACCGGGGGAACUGAAACAUCUAAGUACCCCGAGGAAAAGAAAUCAACCGAGAUUCCCCCAGUAGCGGCGAGCGAACGGGGAGGAGCCCAGAGCCUGAAUCAGCAUGUGUGUUAGUGGAAGCGUCUGGAAAGGCGCGCGAUACAGGGUGACAGCCCCGUACACAAAAGCGCAUGUGCUGUGAGCUCGAUGAGUAGGGCGGGACACGUGGUAUCCUGUCUGAAUAUGGGGGGACCAUCCUCCAAGGCUAAAUACUCCUGACUGACCGAUAGUGAACCAGUACCGUGAGGGAAAGGCGAAAAGAACCCCGGCGAGGGGAGUGAAAAAGAACCUGAAACCGU